Lolium perenne is the source of this 1300-nucleotide long non-coding RNA. RefSeq lists it as uncharacterized. The record is from RefSeq and is a predicted model, not a curated record. NCBI's taxonomy places the organism in Eukaryota, Viridiplantae, Streptophyta, Magnoliopsida, Poales, Poaceae.
CCAAGAAUUUUCAUGCAAAGCUUUGGCUACCACCCAAUUUUUGCGCUUGGAUAUGUCGAAGAUUUGGGGUCCAAUGUCUAUAGGCCUCCCCCCCCCCCCCCCCGAGCCAAGGAGCGUGCCAAAAUGGGGUUUUAUUUCCAUUCCCAAUGGUGAUCUCGGUUGCAGCGUAAAAAAAAAAUCCAUAUCCUCUUUGGUGCAAGGGUUGCCAGAUCCCGCCCAAAUCCUAUUCGGAUCUUUCCAUUGAAGCCAAGGCCAACGAAGUCGAAGUGCCGUCGCGAAGUUUCCCAAAUGUAGGAUUCCAAGACCGCCCAACUUCUUGGGACGGCACACCGUGUCCCAAUUGACUUUACAUUUUGCGCCGGUAGUGGAUUCCUUGCCGGACCAAAGGAAAGCUCUUUCAAUCUUGUUGAUGAACUUGAUAGUGCCCGGCGGUAAGGCAAGGGGAGUGAGAUGGUAAAUGGCUUGAGAGGCGAUGACCACUUCACCAAGGCGGCAUGGCCGGCUGUGGUGACAAGCUUCCCAUUCCAAGUUGGCAAAUUUCCGGCGCACUUAUCCUCAAGGUGAAGGAAGUCCGCCCUUUUGAGGCAUCAAACCGAACGCGGCAGUCAGGGCGGAGCUAGAACUAUUCAUAGGUAUGCAAUGAAUACCCAAUAUUUUUUGGAAUUUCUUUUCAGUAUAUAAGCUUCUCUAUGCAUGUAUAUGUAUAUUAGAGUUCGUCUGUACGUGUUUAACUCGUAAGAAGAGAAACAACACGCUGGUAACGGCCAUCCUGAGUUCAACCCAUCCAAUCUGGGCCGAAAAACCCCAAUUUGGGCUUUCACCGGGCGGUUUCCCCUUAGCUGGGCUGCAACCAAUCGAACCCAGGUCCUGCCAGCGACGAGAGGCAUGGAAUCAACAGCCUCGACGCGAACUGCUCCUCUUGCCUCAUCCUCUUCGUUCAGCCCUGGCAAUGGAUCUCGCCGCCGCCACUCGCCAUACGACAGGCGUCCGGACGACCGCCCCCUCGGCGCUGGCCAGUCCUGACUCCCUGCCGGCUGCCGUAAAGGAACGGGCGUGCCGACAUUUCAUCUGAAUAUCGGCACGAUCGUCGACUAGUGACGGCGGCGCUGCAACACCAUGCAAAAACUAGCAGUAGUUCAUCACCACUGUCCGGUAGUGAAUUCAGAAGACACAAGUGAUCAGUUCACUGUUCACGGUAAGAACAGCUUCAGUUCACGACAUCUCAUUGGUUUGACAAAUACAAAUGACUUGAGUAUAGUGUUCAUCAGUGUAAUAUAAUUUAUUAUUCUGAACCUACAUA